CCACUAUCCAGUUCAGAAAAAUUGUCCCUUACAGAAGGGCAGCCCUUGGGUCAAGAUGACAGUACAAGAUAUAGGUGUCUGGUAGGUGCACUUCAAUAUUUGACACUUACACGGCCUGAUAUCUCAUUUGCUGUUAAUAAGGUCUGUCAGUUUCUUCAUGCACCCACCGCAGUCCACUGGACUGCUGCAAAGCGUAUAGUUCGAUAUGUCAAGAAUACUCUCAAUAUUGGUUUGAAUUUCAGUAAGUCAUCAUCUACACUUUUGAGUGCUUUCUCAGAUUCUAACUGGGCAGGCUGCCUGGAUGACAGGCGGUCCACUGGUGGCUUUGCAGUAUUUUUGGUCCCAAUUUAA
This 351-nucleotide ribosomal RNA is filed under the name Triticum aestivum (bread wheat). RNAcentral's name for it is "partial small subunit ribosomal RNA". The record is from RNAcentral. Lineage: Eukaryota; Viridiplantae; Streptophyta; Magnoliopsida; Poales; Poaceae.